ACAGGCCUCCUGAACGUGCAUUGCGCUCUUGGGAUAUGCCUGAGAGCAUGUCUGCUUCAGUGCUUCUAC
RNAcentral lists this ribosomal RNA (69 nucleotides) under Symbiodinium sp. clade A ex Stylophora pistillata. Its description in RNAcentral is "partial 5.8S ribosomal RNA". Lineage: Eukaryota; Dinophyceae; Suessiales; Symbiodiniaceae. The record is from RNAcentral.